This 580-nucleotide ribosomal RNA is filed under the name Zecicindela helmsi. RNAcentral's name for it is "partial 16S ribosomal RNA". It matches the Rfam family "Bacterial large subunit ribosomal RNA", at positions 1927 to 2739 of the family's 2925-position model. The record is from RNAcentral. Lineage: Eukaryota; Metazoa; Arthropoda; Insecta; Coleoptera; Carabidae.
AUGGCCGCAGUAUUUUGACUGUGCAAAGGUAGCAUAAUUAUUAGUUUUUUAAUUGAAAGCUUGUAUGAAGGGUUGGACGAGAUAAAAUCUGUCUUUAUUUAAAUUAAAAUAGAAUUUAACUUUUAAGUCAAAAGGCUUAAAUGUUUAUAAAAGACGAGAAGACCCUAUAGAUCUUUAUUAAAUUUAAAUUUUGAUAAUUUAAGAUUAUUUUAAUUUGAAGUUUAAAUUUAAUUUUAUUGGGGUAAUAUAAAGAUUAAAUAAAUUCUUUUUAUUAAUUACAUUAAUUUAUGAAUAUAUGAUCCAUUAUUAUUGAUUAUAAGAUUAAGUUACCUUAGGGAUAACAGCGUAAUUUUUUUGGAGAGCUCAUAUCGAUAAAAAAGUUUGCGACCUCGAUGUUGGAUUAAAAAUUAGCUUGGGUGCAGAAGCUCAAGAUUUUGGUCUGUUCGACCAUUAAAUUUUUACAUGAUCUGAGUUCAGACCGGCGUAAGCCAGGUCGGUUUCUAUCUUUAUUUAAAUAAAAUAUUUUAGUACGAAAGGACCAAGUAUUUAAUAUAAUUAUAUUUAUUUUUUGAAUAAUAUU